GUAACGGCCCCCUCCCCUCGGGGCAGCGGUGACAGGUGGUGCAUGGUUGUCGUCAGCUCGUGUCGUGAGAUGUUGGGUUAAGUCCCGCAACGAGCGCAACCCCUGCUUCCAGUAGCCAGCACAUCAUGGUGGGCACUCUGGAGGGACUGCCGGGGAUGACCCGGAGGAAGGCGGGGAUGACGUCAAAUCAUCAUGCCCCUUAUGGCUUGGGCUACACACGUGCUACAAUGGCGCACACAAAGGGAGGCGAAGGGGUGACCCGGAGCAAACCCCAGAAAAGGCGCCCCAGUUCGGAUCGCAGCCUGCAACCCGGCUGCGUGAAGCUGGAAUCGCUAGUAAUCGCGGAUCAGAAUGCCGCGGUGAAUACGUUCCCGGGUCUUGUACACACCGCCCGUCACACCAUGGGAGCCGGAAACGCCCGAAGCCAGCGGCCCAACCGCAAGGAGGGAGCUGUCGAAGGCGGGUCCGGUGACCGGGGUGAAGUCGUAACAAGGUAGCCGUAUCGGAAG
Molecule: ribosomal RNA, 509 nt
Filed under: uncultured bacterium
Lineage: Bacteria
Description: bacterial SSU rRNA
Rfam family: Bacterial small subunit ribosomal RNA
Source: RNAcentral